Molecule: ribosomal RNA, 431 nt
Filed under: uncultured bacterium
Lineage: Bacteria
Description: partial 16S ribosomal RNA
Rfam family: Bacterial small subunit ribosomal RNA
Source: RNAcentral
GCGCACGCUGGCGGCAGGCCUAACACCUGCAAGUCGAACGAACUCUUCGGAGUUAGGGCGGACGGGUGAGUAACACGUGGGAACGUGCCUUUAGGUUCGGAAUAACUCAGGGAAACUUGUGCUAAUACCGAAUGUGCCCUUCGGGGGAAAGAUUUAUCGCCUUUAGAGCGGCCCGCGUCUGAUUAGCUAGUUGGUGAGGUAAAGGCUCACCAAGGCGACGAUCAGUAGCUGGUCUGAGAGGAUGAUCAGCCACAUUGGGACUGAGACACGGCCCAAACUCCUACGGGAGGCAGCAGUGGGGAAUCUUGCGCAAUGGGCGAAAGCCUGACGCAGCCAUGCCGCGUGAAUGAUGAAGGUCUUAGGAUUGUAAAAUUCUUUCACCGGGGACGAUAAUGACGGUACCCGGAGAAGAAGCCCCGGCUAACUUCGUG